Molecule: ribosomal RNA, 611 nt
Filed under: uncultured Actinobacillus sp.
Lineage: Bacteria; Pseudomonadati; Pseudomonadota; Gammaproteobacteria; Pasteurellales; Pasteurellaceae
Description: bacterial SSU rRNA
Rfam family: Bacterial small subunit ribosomal RNA
Source: RNAcentral
AGUUGCUUUCUUUCUGAGAGUGGCGGACGGGUGAGUAAUGCUUGGGAAUCUGGCUUAUGGAGGGGGAUAACUACGGGAAACUGUAGCUAAUACCGCGUAGUAUCGGAAGAUGAAAGUGUGGGACCGCAAGGCCACAUGCCAUAAGAUGAGCCCAAGUGGGAUUAGGUAGUUGGUUAGGUAAAGGCUGACCAAGCCGACGAUCUCUAGCUGGUCUGAGAGGAUGACCAGCCACACUGGAACUGAGACACGGUCCAGACUCCUACGGGAGGCAGCAGUGGGGAAUAUUGCACAGUGGGGGGAACCCUGAUGCAGCCAUGCCGCGUGAAUGAAGAAGGCCUUCGGGUUGUAAAGUUCUUUCGGUGAUGAGGAAGGUGCUUGUUUUAAUAGAACAAGCAAUUGACGUUAGUCACAGAAGAAGCACCGGCUAACUCCGUGCCAGCAGCCGCGGUAAUACGGAGGGUGCGAGCGUUAAUCGGAAUAACUGGGCGUAAAGGGCACGCAGGCGGUGACUUAAGUGAGAUGUGAAAGCCCCGAGCUUAACUUGGGAAUUGCAUUUCAUACUGGGUCGCUAGAGUACUUUAGGGAGGGGUAGAAUUCCACGUGUAGCGGUG